This 497-nucleotide ribosomal RNA is filed under the name uncultured bacterium. Its description in RNAcentral is "partial 16S ribosomal RNA". It matches the Rfam family "Bacterial small subunit ribosomal RNA", at positions 28 to 507 of the family's 1533-position model. The record is from RNAcentral.
GACGAACGCUGGCGGCGUGCCUAAUACAUGCAAGUUGAGCGCUGAAGGUUGGUACUUGUACCAACUGGAUGAGCAGCGAACGGGUGAGUAACGCGUGGGGAAUCUGCCUUUGAGCGGGGGACAACAUUUGGAAACGAAUGCUAAUACCGCAUAAAAACUUUAAACACAAGUUUUAAGUUUGAAAGAUGCAAUUGCAUCACUCAAAGAUGAUCCCGCGUUGUAUUAGCUAGUUGGUGAGGUAAAGGCUCACCAAGGCGAUGAUACAUAGCCGACCUGAGAGGGUGAUCGGCCACAUUGGGACUGAGACGCGGCCCAAACUCCUACGGGAGGCAGCAGUAGGGAAUCUUCGGCAAUGGACGAAAGUCUGACCGAGCAACGCCGCGUGAGUGAAGAAGGGUUUCGGAUCGUAAAACUCUGUUGGUAGAGAAGAACGUUGGUGAGAGUGGAAAGCUCAUCAAGUGACGGUAACUACCCAGAAAGGGACGGCUAACUACGUG